Non-coding RNA from Araneus ventricosus, 72 nucleotides. The record is from the annotation of a GenBank genome assembly. Lineage: Eukaryota; Metazoa; Arthropoda; Arachnida; Araneae; Araneidae.
UGCCGUAGCUCAGUUGAUAGAGUACUGGACUGUAAAUCCAUUUGUCCAUGGUUUGAAUCCUAACUACGGUAG